UUUAAUAGCAGUUAUUUAUUUGUCAUUAUAAUUAUUUUUGUUUUGAUAAUAAUAAUUAUUUUUUUUUUUUUAACUUUUCUUUUCGAAUUGUAGGAGGUACACAUUAGAAUGGAUUAGCUCUGAGAAUAGUGUGAGGUUUGUUUAUUUGUGUAUGUUAAGGGAAUGAACUCCAGGGGAACAGUCUUUGAGAUGAGAGAGUUGUUGUGAUUGUCCAGCCAGUGGAGCUGAGCUGGGACAAUUUGAGGUGUCCCUGGGAGAGGAGGGACUGUAGCAGACCCAUAGGAGAUGGGCUGGCUACUGGUUAAGGGUCGGGAGAACCCUGUGUUGUUAGUAGUUGGGGCAGGAGUUCCCCAUGGUAGUACCGGAAGUGGCUAUCCCGUACGGGAUAAGGGUACCACUUUAAUUAAUUUUAUUGGUGGGGUUAGAGUCCCCUGUGUAGUGGGCCUAUAGGAGAUAGGCACUACAGCGAAAUUUUUGGUUGUCCUGGAGGUAAAUUCCCUGGGUUAAGUUAAGGAAUUGUUUUUAAAGUUAGGAAGUAGGGAAAUGUGAAUCAUUGUUGGAGAGUGAGUUAGUGUACCUGCCUACGUAUUAAAUUAAAUUUUAUUGAAUUAAUUUAUGAGAAAGUUUAUUGUGUUAAUGAUAAUGGAAGUAAGUUAAUUUUUUUUAAAUUUUGUUUUUGAAGUAAAGUAUUUUAAGUAAUAAAGUUAAAUAAUAGAGUGAGUGGGGACAGUUAUGAUUGAGUAUUUUUGAAUUUUAUUUUGUUUAUCAUACUUGCAAUGUAAUGUUUUAAUUUGUUCUCUCAACAUAAUUAAAAUUUAAAUAAUUUUUUUUUAAUACAGUGCCUCUUAUACAUUUGUUGACACAAGUAAUAAAGCAUUUUUAUUUAUUUACAAUUUUAUUUUAAUUACACAAAAAUUUGUAUUUAGCUUGUGAUACCGAGAAAAAUUUUUUUUUGAGUUGUUUUGUUUGUGUUUGAUUCUUAUCGGUUUUGUGAAAGUAGUGUUACAGUAAUCAGUUCAGUGGUGACCUGGGACUGGCUGCAUGACUAAGAAGACUGAGCAUGGUGUUACUGGCUGCACAUCAGAGUGAAUCUGAUGGCACCACCAGUAACUGUUGUUUCGAGGUGUUGCUGUUUUCACCAGACGAGACCAACCAGCUGCUUGCUGCCUACAGCAUAGCAGAUUUUCACUGGGGAGACAUCCCCGAUGACAUGCUGCGAGGAAGGCAGGCUGAGGGCAGAACUGCUCUGAAGGCUGGAUCCUGGGUGUGAGCUGCAGAUCACACUUCAAGGACUCUUCUCUCCAGCUUCAACUAGGGCUGAUCUGUCCACGGUUCAUGCCUCUCCUAGUUGUAUGUCGUACGAGUAGUUUUACGAUGUGCCAGCCACCAUCGAUUCUUACAGGAAAGAAUUGUUUCCUGGGCUAUUUUGUAUUUUGUAUUGGUUUAACUUUUUCAGUUUAGACUUUGGAAUUAAUUGUUGUGGUAAAACCUAACCUUCGUGCGCUGUCUUGUUCGAGUAGGCAUUAAACGUAUAAAUUUUUGCCCCUUGGUUUUGUUCAUUGUUAGGAAUUUUUAUGGCUUGUGGGGCACAAGCCCUUGCAGACCGGGGUAAUGUCACGGUCUGAAAAUUUCAUUACCUUUUUUUCUUAAAUUUUAUUUUACUUUUGUUUCUCGUCAGGUUUACGUGUUGGUGUACGUGCGCGUUUCCAGGCUCGGCCGGUUGAUUUCGACACGCUGGUAUGGGAAUAUAGGUUACUGUGAUAGAAGUUUGCAAGCGCCGCGGGCUUUUGCGAGGCUGCGUGGGUUGCUAAUUCUCGUGGGUCGCUGGCCAGGGCCUGCUGAGAGGUUGCAACACGCCGUUCCAGAAAAACCUGCUGCGCUACGCUAGUCUCUGGUUUGUCGCGCGAGGCUUUUGUGUUCUCGUUUCGAGGACUCUGUCCUGUUUAGUGAUGCCAUCUUGCGUCCAAGUUUGGAAACGUAGACGGAAAAUUAACAAUCGAGCAGCGCAAGAGGGAGAGGGGGAAACUCGCUCGCGCCUGCGCAGAAGGAAUAGCUGACUUCAUUUGUUUUUAAAUUUUUCCUUGUGGGAAGGGAGGGGACCGCGAGUUGCCUUGUGGAUAAGUUUUCCCAGUGUUCGUGUUUUUUUUUUGUUUUUCCGGCAUGGCCUAGUUUUGUAGUUAAAACCUCCUUCCAGGGAGGGGCCGGGGCUUUUUGCCUGGGGACCUCUCUGGGAGCCGGGUCCACGUCGGUUUGAAACAACUUUGCUUCGCCUCAAGUCAGUAGGGUAAGUGGUUGGCCAUGGCUCGUUCGCAACAAUCAUUUCUUGGACGAUCUUCGUCUUAAUCUUUUAAGUAAUAAUGUAGUAUUGUUCCACCUCUAUUAUUUAUUAUUUGGUUUUGGGAAAAAUCGACGUCUGGUUAUAAGUAUGUAGGUAGUGGUAACUGGGAAGUAUACUAUUCUUCCGCGGAGCUGCGACGACGAGAGAACCGCCAUGUUGUAGUGAUAAUUGUUUGCCGGCGGACGUCACUUUAAUAUGUAUUUAAGGUAUUUAUUUAUUCUUGAAUCCACGUGAUAAAUUAUUAUUUAUGAAUUCUUCUGUUAACUUUUUUUUUUUGUUUUAAUUUCUCAGAGUUUGUUUAUUGUGCUUCUCAUAUUUGGAUUAGUAAAUAAAACCUGUGCUUGAAUGAACUAAUCACGUUUCUUUUCAGUACAUAAAUAAUACCCUACACUUCCUGUAUAGGGAGAAGACUUGAUCUCGAGUACCCUGCCUACCUAUGAGCUACAGUACUACCUCCCCCCCAGUGUUAUAGGUCAUUUAUUGUUUUGUGUAUAGGUGUAUGCAGGACGUCUGACGGAGUCACGUCACAAGAUUACGUGAGGGUUGGAAAAGUUGUGCAUUUAGUAAUGGGGAAGGGUCCGUCCUCGGCAAUCCUGCACAUGAACGGAAUGGCGUCACUGUGCAGUAACACACCCAGAGCUAAGAACAAAAAAAAUCGCAUGAACUCCAACUACUUACGCGUGUUGUGUUGUCUUCCCUGUACACGAUCCCCAGUAUGACAUUUACGUAACUGCGAUCCGUACAGCUCAAUGCACACGGUUAUCAGUCUUUAACGAAAAACUUAAGCAUUUUCAGGCUAAGAACAUUUACAGCUGUCCUUCUACAUGCCCAUUCGUGAUCACGUUAAUGACUAUCGACAUUUUAUUGUUCUCCAAAUAGUUAACUCAACACACAGUUGAUUUACAGAUUAUUUCUUUUACGUUACAUGAAUGAAUUUGUGAUUAAAAUAAAGACUGGUUUUAAGACAGUAAAGAAACACACAAAUAUAAAAAAUUAUUAGUUCUAUUUCAGUACAUACAGUAUUUUAUUCUUUCAAUUUUCCCUGUGGUUUUCUGGGUUCAAUUCCUUGAGUUUUCCUUUAUCUUCCAGGUUUACCCUGUCUACGAAAACCCUUCUUUUGUAAAUAGAGUUGAUCACGACAACCAAGUAUACAAUUACGUACACGCUCGUAUCUAUCUGCCACUAUCGUUCCCUUUCAGCGGUGUGAGUGUUAACCAGCGCGGGGGUGUGUUCCACCCCUCCCCUUCAAGGGUUGCAUCGUACAGAACCCUAUCACCGUGUGCCGCGAAGCAGGUGACAACCAAUUAGCGACUGGCACCGGAUACUCCAAUUGGGGGGAGGGGGGGUUGCGCGUUGAUUUCAAGGUUGACAGAAGGUAACUGUGUUAUACAAUCGUAUUACACAAUUCCCCGUUCCCCUCGGCACACAACAGCAAGACGGGAGAUGGCAACGAAGAAAAGGGCGCCGCUGAAACUACCUUGGAGUUAGUGUCGAGGAAGCGCCGACUACAGGCAUUCGCCCAAUUAGAAGGCUUUGUUAAUCACAGGGAGGUAACUGCCUCAUUAACGUACACGGAGAAAAUGUUGUGCCCAUUUCCAAUAUCAGUUUAUCCGCGGUCUGAAAAGGGAGUAAUUCCCAGAAUUUUGAGUUAAGCAGAGUUAAAAAAAAAAACACCAACUAAAUGUAGAAUAAAAAAAAACUUAAUAUGUUUAAAAAUGUAGAAAUUUUAUUGUAAAGAAUGUGACAUACUGAUAAGUGCAAUACGACAAAAAAUCACAAAACUUAUUUAUAAAAACUGUUUCUGAAAAAUACGUUAACUUUAUUUUACCUUGCAUUGUGAGGAAUAGGUACAUUAAAAAAAUAUCUGAAUAUAAUAAAAAAAGUAAUGGUAAUAACUUAACGUUUAUUGUAGGGGGAAAAAUGCUUACACUAAUUCUAAAAGGUAUGUACAUCGUUCCAGGCGGAAAAAGUUUCAAACGUUUUUUCUUUGUGAAAACGUCUAUUCGCUCGUUAGAGUUAUAGUCAGUAUAAUUUUCUUGUGUGACAAAAUACCGACAGUUUGACUCGCUAAUAACUACAAGACUAAUGAUUAGAGACCGGAAAAAUUCGCGGGUUCAAUGACCUCCAGGAUAGACUCCAAUAUCCUCUACACACUCGGGCAAAUGCCAAAUGUUCAUUGGCUGCUGACUUGUGAGUCAUCUCGACUGGGUGGCCUGUGAUUCGAUACUUGUAUGGGUGAGGGUCUCUAAUUGGCCCUGAGUCCUCCAGACUAACAGUGAACGAAUGACAGAAGCAGCACUAAGGUAUAAUUAUUUGAAUUUUAGCAUGACACGAAAUGAACCUGAAAAUUUUUCAGGUCUCUACUAAUGAUGAUUUAACAGUAGUUGAGCACAUAACGGAUUAAUCAUGUCUGUACGUGUUUCUUUUUUUUUUUUUGCCUGUGACGUCAUCAUACUAGUGUGAUUGUUCACGAAUUACCUUUGUGUGACGUUAUAAAUUGGUGUAGAGUGGAAACGCGUGUAGCCAGGACAUUGAUCCUGGUGUCACUGUGCAGAGCUUGUGGAGCACUGCUGGGACCCAAAGUGAGACAAUAAAAAUAUUCACUGCAAAAUAAGUGAAAAUUUGUAUUAAAUUGAAUAUUACUAAACAAUUUCUGAUGUCGUCUCAUAUGACUCGUAAAUAUGAUCGGAAUGAUAGAAGAUGCAAGUCGAAGGAAAGCUAGCGUCGAAAGGAAUUCAAUAAUCCUAAAGAGCACAGUGCCCAGCGAAUGCGAAAGCAACGGCAAAAUCGAAAAGGAAAUGAUAAAAUGGCGCAAAGCGAUUACGUAGCUGGCCCAUCGGGCAUACAGGGGCCAUUCCGGAUCAUGCAAACUUUGUAUUAAAUAGACUGAUAAUUAAAUUACAUAAUAAUACGUAACACUUGUUAUGAUUUUAUUCCAAAGUUUUCACAAAAAAUUCUACCGCGCGGACUUGGAACUGCGCCAUUCUCUAGUUUUGCUUUGAAAAUAGUCACUGCAGCUACACUCGACACAGCUACUAGUACACCACUUUCUCAUCAGGAAGACCAAAGCUGACCUCCCAACUUUGCACGCGCCUGGAUUUAUCCAAGACGUGUCAAGGAAGGGCCACUAAGGCCGGUAUCCCAAUACAUUAAAAUAAGGGUUUAGGUGUUGAAUAUUCUACACCUGUACCCUUAUCGUAUUCCUAGUGGACGAUAGCACAUGGCCAGUCUCUUAUUUUUAGGCAACACAUUUUGGUGACAUAUCCGUUGCCGUUAUGUUGCCCAAAUUACGCGCAUGCGCAGAGCUUUUUAUUUUAUUUUAAGUUGUUUUCGUCCAGAUGGAUGAACCAUAUUUGGCGCCAUGAACAAAUAUAUAGUCAAUUUUAUGAUAAUCGGGGGAAGUACCAAGCGAAUUGGUGUGCCAAAUGAAACUAUGUUAGCUAAAUUAUUCUGGAGUACACUUUGUACAUUUUAAUUGUCAUAAUUACAAAUAAUUUCAACUUUAACAGUACUUGAGACUAUUAAAAAAACCAAUUAAUUCACACGAUAGUGCUGCUAUCUUUAGGACUUAUAGCAUAGCAAAUGUAUCGAUAGUUGCCAUACGACCGCUAGGCUAGUACCUAGCCUCGUGCAAGGCACAGUUUAUUAAAACUGUUGAUUAUUCGUUACCUAACAGGGAUUGGGUUUGGACACGUUAUUGAAUACGGUCUGCGAGUUAGGUUGCGUUGUAUCCCAAAAAAGUAGUGCUUAUUACCAGAACGUCUUGGAAUACCAUCCUAAGCCGCUAUACAAGUAAGUGCGUGGGUGCCCCCGGGGGGAUUAAAAUGUCAGCCUUCCCUCACGUGACGUGACCGAUAACGCAUAUUCCCCUUGAAUACCCAAACCGAACUUCGCAAGUCAGAAAGUCUUCCCCAGGCACUGCCAUUACAUGCGUUCCCGCACUGUCAUGAACCCUUUUGAAACCAAUCUCUGAAUAAAUUACCACUGCACCCGUGAUACCAUGCAAUUCGAUCGGAAAAAGAACAGGAGACGCAUUCUUUUUUUAUGGCGUAUUUUGAUACUCGUCUCUUUACCAAACGGUUUUAUUUUAAUUGGUCGACCUCUGAUUUAAAAUUUUUUAUGGACAUACACCACAGAUAAAUAACAAGAAUGCACAAGAAAGAUGAAUACAAAAAAUCAACAGAAAAACAAGUCAAGAUCAGCCCGUUGUAAAUGUUAAAUGAAUUAGCACAGGAAAUUCCGUGGAAGGAAUUACACUAAAUAUCACGGCACAGACGAACACUGUGGGCUGACAAAGACGAAACCUUGUAACAAGAAGAGAGAGAGAGAGAAAGAGAGAGAAAGAGAGAGAAAGAGAGAGAAA
Molecule: long non-coding RNA, 6701 nt
Organism: Bacillus rossius redtenbacheri
Lineage: Eukaryota; Metazoa; Arthropoda; Insecta; Phasmatodea; Bacillidae
Exons: 2
Source: RefSeq, a predicted model, not a curated record